GUGUCAGCAGCCGCGGUAAUACGGGGGGGGCAAGCGUUGUUCGGAAUUACUGGGCGUAAAGGGCUGGUAGGCGGCCAACUAAGUCGGAUGUGAAAUCCCCAGGCUUAACCUGGGAACUGCAUCCGAUACUGGUCGGCUUGAAUCCGGGAGAGGGAUGCAGAAUUCCAGGUGUAGCGGUGAAAUGCGUAGAUAUCUGGAGGAAUACCGGUGGCGAAGGCGGCAUCCUGGACCGGCAUUGACGCUGAACAGCGAAAGCUAGGGGAGCAAACGGGAUUAGAAACCCGAGUAGUCC
This 292-nucleotide ribosomal RNA is filed under the name uncultured bacterium. RNAcentral's name for it is "partial 16S ribosomal RNA". It matches the Rfam family "Bacterial small subunit ribosomal RNA", at positions 505 to 796 of the family's 1533-position model. The record is from RNAcentral.